GAACCGGACGAACGUUAUUCGGAAUCACUGGGCUUAAAGGGUGCGUAGGCGGCCGCGUAAGUCGGGUGUGAAAUCCCUCGGCUCAACCGAGGAAUUGCGCCCGAUACUGCGUGGCUAGAGGGAGACAGAGGCGAGCGGAACUGAUGGUGGAGCGGUGAAAUGCGUUGAUAUCAUCAGGAACACCGGUGGCGAAGGCGGCUCGCUGGGUCUCUUCUGACGCUCAGGCACGAAAGCUAGGGUAGCGAACAGGAUUAGAUACCCUGGUAGUCCUAGCUGUAAACGAUGAGCACUUGGUCGGGGACCUUCCCAUGGGUUCCCGGCCGAAGCGAAAGUGUUAAGUGCUCCGCCUGGGGAGUAUGGUCGCAAGGCUGAA
Molecule: ribosomal RNA, 373 nt
Filed under: uncultured bacterium
Lineage: Bacteria
Description: bacterial SSU rRNA
Rfam family: Bacterial small subunit ribosomal RNA
Source: RNAcentral